GACGAACGCUGGCGGCGUGCCUAAUACAUGCAAGUAGAACGCUGAAGAGAGGAGCUUGCUCUUCUUGGAUGAGUUGCGAACGGGUGAGUAACGCGUAGGUAACCUGCCUUGUAGCGGGGGAUAACUAUUGGAAACGAUAGCUAAUACCGCAUAACAAUGGAUGACACAUGUCAUUUAUUUGAAAGGGGCAAUUGCUCCACUACAAGAUGGACCUGCGUUGUAUUAGCUAGUAGGUGAGGUAAUGGCUCACCUAGGCGACGAUACAUAGCCGACCUGAGAGGGUGGUCGGCCACACUGGGACUGAGACACGGCCCAGACUCCUACGGGAGGCAGCAGUAGGGAAUCUUCGGCAAUGGGGGCAACCCUGACCGAGCAACGCCGCGUGGGUGAAGAAGGUUGUCGUAUCGUAAAGCUCUGUUGUAAGUCAAGAACGGGUGUGAGAGUGGAAAGUUCACACUGUGACGGUAGCUUACCAGAAAGGGACGGCUAACUACGUG
This 497-nucleotide ribosomal RNA is filed under the name uncultured bacterium. RNAcentral describes it as "partial 16S ribosomal RNA". It matches the Rfam family "Bacterial small subunit ribosomal RNA", at positions 28 to 507 of the family's 1533-position model. The record is from RNAcentral.